GAGCCCUUAGCUCAGCCCGGUUAGAGCACUGCUCUUAUAAGGCAGGGGUCCCACGUUCAAAUCGUGGAGGGCUCA
RNAcentral lists this transfer RNA (75 nucleotides) under archaeon. RNAcentral's name for it is "tRNA-Ile". It matches the Rfam family "tRNA". Rfam says of the family: Transfer RNA (tRNA) molecules are approximately 80 nucleotides in length. Their secondary structure includes four short double-helical elements and three loops (D, anti-codon, and T loops). Further hydrogen bonds mediate the characteristic L-shaped molecular structure. tRNAs have two regions of fundamental functional importance: the anti-codon, which is responsible for specific mRNA codon recognition, and the 3' end, to which the tRNAs corresponding amino acid is attached (by aminoacyl-tRNA synthetases). tRNAs cope with the degeneracy of the genetic code in two manners: having more than one tRNA (with a specific anti-codon) for a particular amino acid; and 'wobble' base-pairing, i.e. permitting non-standard base-pairing at the 3rd anti-codon position. The record is from RNAcentral.